Molecule: ribosomal RNA, 1406 nt
Filed under: Escherichia coli
Lineage: Bacteria; Pseudomonadati; Pseudomonadota; Gammaproteobacteria; Enterobacterales; Enterobacteriaceae
Description: partial 23S ribosomal RNA
Rfam family: Bacterial large subunit ribosomal RNA
Source: RNAcentral
AUGCUGGAGGUAUCAGAAGUGCGAAUGCUGACAUAAGUAACGAUAAAGCGGGUGAAAAGCCCGCUCGCCGGAAGACCAAGGGUUCCUGUCCAACGUUAAUCGGGGCAGGGUGAGUCGACCCCUAAGGCGAGGCCGAAAGGCGUAGUCGAUGGGAAACAGGUUAAUAUUCCUGUACUUGGUGUUACUGCGAAGGGGGGACGGAGAAGGCUAUGUUGGCCGGGCGACGGUUGUCCCGGUUUAAGCGUGUAGGCUGGUUUUCCAGGCAAAUCCGGAAAAUCAAGGCUGAGGCGUGAUGACGAGGCACUACGGUGCUGAAGCAACAAAUGCCCUGCUUCCAGGAAAAGCCUCUAAGCAUCAGGUAACAUCAAAUCGUACCCCAAACCGACACAGGUGGUCAGGUAGAGAAUACCAAGGCGCUUGAGAGAACUCGGGUGAAGGAACUAGGCAAAAUGGUGCCGUAACUUCGGGAGAAGGCACGCUGAUAUGUAGGUGAAGUCCCUCGCGGAUGGAGCUGAAAUCAGUCGAAGAUACCAGCUGGCUGCAACUGUUUAUUAAAAACACAGCACUGUGCAAACACGAAAGUGGACGUAUACGGUGUGACGCCUGCCCGGUGCCGGAAGGUUAAUUGAUGGGGUCAGCGCAAGCGAAGCUCUUGAUCGAAGCCCCGGUAAACGGCGGCCGUAACUAUAACGGUCCUAAGGUAGCGAAAUUCCUUGUCGGGUAAGUUCCGACCUGCACGAAUGGCGUAAUGAUGGCCAGGCUGUCUCCACCCGAGACUCAGUGAAAUUGAACUCGCUGUGAAGAUGCAGUGUACCCGCGGCAAGACGGAAAGACCCCGUGAACCUUUACUAUAGCUUGACACUGAACAUUGAGCCUUGAUGUGUAGGAUAGGUGGGAGGCUUUGAAGUGUGGACGCCAGUCUGCAUGGAGCCGACCUUGAAAUACCACCCUUUAAUGUUUGAUGUUCUAACGUGGACCCGUAAUCCGGGUUGCGGACAGUGUCUGGUGGGUAGUUUGACUGGGGCGGUCUCCUCCUAAAGAGUAACGGAGGAGCACGAAGGUUGGCUAAUCCUGGUCGGACAUCAGGAGGUUAGUGCAAUGGCAUAAGCCAGCUUGACUGCGAGCGUGACGGCGCGAGCAGGUGCGAAAGCAGGUCAUAGUGAUCCGGUGGUUCUGAAUGGAAGGGCCAUCGCUCAACGGAUAAAAGGUACUCCGGGGAUAACAGGCUGAUACCGCCCAAGAGUUCAUAUCGACGGCGGUGUUUGGCACCUCGAUGUCGGCUCAUCACAUCCUGGGGCUGAAGUAGGUCCCAAGGGUAUGGCUGUUCGCCAUUUAAAGUGGUACGCGAGCUGGGUUUAGAACGUCGUGAGACAGUUCGGUCCCUAUCUGCCGUGGGCGCUGGAGAA